GCAGAUGUAGCUCAGUGGUAGAGCAUAUGUAUAGUAUGCAUAGGAAUGGGGUUUGAUGCCCAACUCCUCCA
This 71-nucleotide transfer RNA is filed under the name Dipodomys ordii (Ord's kangaroo rat). It matches the Rfam family "tRNA". Rfam says of the family: Transfer RNA (tRNA) molecules are approximately 80 nucleotides in length. Their secondary structure includes four short double-helical elements and three loops (D, anti-codon, and T loops). The record is from Rfam by way of RNAcentral. Lineage: Eukaryota; Metazoa; Chordata; Mammalia; Rodentia; Heteromyidae.